UGGGGAAUUUUGCGCAAUGGGGGAAACCCUGACGCAGCGACGCCGCGUGGAGGAUGAAGGUUUUCGGAUUGUAAACUCCUUUUGUAGGGGACAAUAAUGAUGGUACCCUAUGAAUAAGCCACGGCUAACUCUGUGCCAGCAGCCGCGGUAAGACAGAGGUGGCAAGCGUUGUUCGGAAUUACUGGGCUUAAAGGGCGCGUAGGUGGUGGCAUAAGUCCGAGGUGGAAGACUAAGGCUUAACCUUAGAAUUGCCUUGGAAACUGUAUCACUUGAGUCAGCGAGGGGAUGGCGGAAUUCCAGGUGUAGCGGUGAAAUGCGUAGAUAUCUGGAGGAAGGCCGGUGGCGAAGGCGGCCAUCUGGCGCUGAACUGACACUGAGGCGCGAAAGCGUGGGGAGCAAACAGGAUUAGAUACCCUGGUAGUCCACGCCCUAAAACGGUGGGUACUAGGUGUAGGGCUCGCAAGGGUUCUGUGCCGCAGGGAAACCAUUAAGUACCCCGCCUGGGGA
This 507-nucleotide ribosomal RNA is filed under the name uncultured bacterium. RNAcentral describes it as "bacterial SSU rRNA". It matches the Rfam family "Bacterial small subunit ribosomal RNA", at positions 355 to 879 of the family's 1533-position model. The record is from RNAcentral.